CUAAUAAAUUUUCAAAAAGACCAUCCAAUAACUAAGUUCCAAAUAUACAAUUAUAAUACUCAAACUUACUUUUUACAGGAACAAGUGCAACCUCACUGAAUCCCAACUACAGAAUGAGAGGCAAUAUAAGGACAUCCCUUUAUAGCUCCCUUGAUAUUACAUCACUUCCUGCUGGCUGAUUAAUUAAUUUAUUAUUAGUUAGUGAUGUGUUAGGACCUCAUAGUACUAUUUGAAAUUUUCCUAAGUUCUCUGUUUGGUGACAUGUAUAAACAGAGGUAGACUAUAAGGUUCCACCAUUCUUGAUUGAAAAUAGGGAACGUAACAUCAUCUAAUUUCAACCAAAUUUAUAUAUAUUUUUUUGAAGUCUAUCUAGAUAUUAUAUUUAUCGAAUUGAAUAUGUGAUUGGAUGUAAUCAUUGGAUAUUCUAAACCUUUCUAAUCAAUGGUAAUCACUCCUACUAUAAGAACUGAUUCCAAACCCCUGAUGAAGUCCUAACGGACGAAACGCGUUGGGUUUUGCAACGUCUGGUUAACAAAGUCCUUAUCACAAACAUCUGGUUGGAGAUACAUCCAUUUCGAGUUCUGACUGUGAUCACCUGGCUGUAAAAUCCUCACAUCCAACUGUAAUUUAUGUAUAAGAUUGUAAUAUUGUUUUAUAUGAAUUUUUAGAAGGUUGUGUCAAUAACGAACGCUUAGGAUAAAUAUCGUUUGUUUCUGUACAAUAAAAACUUUUAAUUAUUGUCAUACAA
Molecule: long non-coding RNA, 748 nt
Organism: Pseudophryne corroboree (corroboree frog)
Lineage: Eukaryota; Metazoa; Chordata; Amphibia; Anura; Myobatrachidae
Exons: 4
Source: RefSeq, a predicted model, not a curated record